This is a long non-coding RNA of Oncorhynchus keta (chum salmon), 1805 nucleotides long. RefSeq lists it as uncharacterized. The transcript has 4 exons. NCBI's taxonomy places the organism in Eukaryota, Metazoa, Chordata, Actinopteri, Salmoniformes, Salmonidae. The record is from RefSeq and is a predicted model, not a curated record.
UGACCCUAUGUAGCCAGGUCCCAUCUACUAUCCUUCUGACCCUAUGUAGCCAGGUCCCAUCUACUAUCCUUCUGACCCUAUGUAGCCAGGUCCCAUCUACUAUCCUUCUGACCCUAUGUAGCCAGGUCCCAUCUACUAUCCUUCUGACCCUAUGUAGCCAGGUCCAUCUACUAUCCUUCUGACCCUAUGUAGCCAGGUCCCAUCUACUAUCCUUCUGACCCUAUGUAGCCAGGUCCAUCUACUAUCCAUCUGACCCUAUGUAGCCAGGUCCAUCUACUAUCCAUCUGACCCUAUGUAGCCAGGUCCAUCUACUAUCCUUCUGACCCUAUGUAGCCAGGUCCAUCUACUAUCCUUCUGACCCUAUGUAGCCAGGUCCAUCUACUAUCCUUCUGACCCUAUGUAGUCAGGUCCAUCUACUAUCCUUCUGACCCAGGUCCAUCUACUAUCCUUCUGACCCUAUGUAGCCAGGUCCCAUCUACUAUCCUUCUGACCCAGGUCCCAUCUACUAUCCUUCUGACCCUAUGUAGCCAGGUCCCAUCUACUAUCCUUCUGACCCUAUGUAGCCAGGUCCAUCUACUAUCCUUCUGACCCUAUGUAGCCAGGUCCCAUCUACUAUCCUUCUGACCCAGGUCCCAUCUACUAUCCUUCUGACCCUAUGUAGCCAGGUCCCAUCUACUAUCCUUCUGACCCAGGUCCCAUCUACUAUCCUUCUGACCCUAUGUAGCCAGGUCCAUCUACUAUCCUUCUGACCCUAUGUAGCCAGGUCCCAUCUACUAUCCUUCUGACCCAGGUCCCAUCUACUAUCCUUCUGACCCUAUGUAGCCAGGUCCCAUCUACUAUCCUUCUGACCCAGGUCCCAUCUACUAUCCUUCUGACCCAGGUCCAUCUACUAUCCUUCUGACCCAGGUCCAUCUACUAUCCUCCUGACCCAGGUCCAUCUACUAUCCUUCUGACCCAGGUCCAUCUACUAUCCUUCUGACCCUAUGCAGCCAGGUCCCAUCUACUAUCCUUCUGACCCUAUGUAGCCAGGUCCAUCUACUAUCCUUCUGACCCAGGUCCAUCUACUAUCCUUCUGACCCAGGUCCAUCUACUAUCCUUCUGACCCUAUGCAGCCAGGUCCCAUCUACUAUCCUUCUGACCCAGGUCCAUCUACUAUCCUUCUGACCCAGGUCCAUCUACUAUCCUUCUGACCCAGGUCCAUCUACUAUCCUCCUGACCCAGGUCCAUCUACUAUCCUCCUGACCCUAUGUUGCCAGGUCCCAUCUACUAUCCUUCUGACCCUAUGUAGCCAGGUCCCAUCUACUAUCCUUCUGACCCUAUGUUGCCAGGUCCAUCUACUAUCCUUCUGACCCUAUGUAGCCAGGUCCCAUCUACUAUCCUUCUGACCCUAUGUAGCCAGGUCCAUCUACUAUCCUUCUGACCCUAUGUAGCCAGGUCCAUCUACUAUCCUUCUGACCCAGGUCCAUCUACUAUCCUUCUGACCCUAUGUAGCCAGGUCCAUCUACUAUCCUUCUGACCCUAUGUUGCCAGGUCCCAUCUACUAUCCUUCUGACCCUAUGUAGCCAGGUCCCAUCUACUAUCCUUCUGACCCAGGUCCAUCUACUAUCCUUCUGACCCUAUGUAGCCAGGUCCCAUCUACUAUCCUCCUGACCCUAUGUAGCCAGGUCCCAUCUACUAUCCUUCUGACCCUAUGUAGCCAGGUCCAUCUACUAUCCUUCUGACCCUAUGUAGCCAGGUCCAUCUACUAUCCUUCUGACCCUAUGUAGCCAGGUCCAUCUACUAUCCUUCUGACUCUAUGUAGCCAG